CCCUUAGAUGUUCUGGGCUGCACGCGUGUUACAAUCGGGAGUACAACAAGAUUGCAAAUCCUAGUGGAUGAGUGGUUCUUCGAAAUUUUCUGAAGACUGGGAUAGUUGAUUGAAAUUAUUCAACUCGAACGAGGAAUUCCUUGUAAUUGUAAUUCAUUAUAUUGUAAUGAAUACGUCCCUGCCCUUUGUACACACCGCCCGUCGCACCUACCGAUUGGAUGGUCCGGUGAAGCCUCGGGAUUGUGGUUCUUGCCGCUUUAUUGUGGCGUGACCGCGAGAACUUGUCUAAACCUUAUCAUCUAGAGGAAGGUGAAGUCGUAACA
Molecule: ribosomal RNA, 323 nt
Filed under: uncultured eukaryote
Lineage: Eukaryota
Description: partial 18S ribosomal RNA
Rfam family: Eukaryotic small subunit ribosomal RNA
Source: RNAcentral